RNAcentral lists this ribosomal RNA (137 nucleotides) under Pogona vitticeps (central bearded dragon). The record is from RNAcentral. Lineage: Eukaryota; Metazoa; Chordata; Lepidosauria; Squamata; Agamidae.
UUCUGUGAGAAGAACGCUCUGAAAACAAGUCCACUCCAAAGCGGUCUUCUUGCCUGAUUUCAGAAACCAAGUAGGGUCAGUCCUGGUUAAUAUAUGGAUGGGAGACCCACCAGGUAAGACCCAGGCUCUUUCAGGUA